AAUCAACGCUGGCGGCGUGCCUCAGACAUGCAAGUCGAACGCGAAAGUCCCCUUCGGGGGACAAGUAGAGUGGCGCACGGGUGAGUAACACGUAGGUAAUCUACCUUUGGAUGGGGAAUAACAACCGGAAACGGUUGCUAAUACCGCAUAAUGCAGCGGCACCUAAUGGUGACAGUUGUUAAAGCGGGGGGAUCGAAAGACCUCGCGUCUGAAGAGGAGCCUGCGGCGGAUUAGCUAGNGGUAAGGUAAUGGCUUACCAAGGCUACGAUCCGUAACCGGCCUGAGAGGGCGGUCGGUCACACUGACACUGACAUACGGGUCAGACUCCUACGGGAGCAGCAGUCGGGAAUUUUGGGCAAUGGGCGAAAGCCUGACCCAGCAACGCCGCGUGAAGGAUGAAAUCCCUCGGGAUGUAAACUUCGCAAGAACGGGAAGAAUAAGCGAGAGUUAAUAUCUUUCGU
This 461-nucleotide ribosomal RNA is filed under the name uncultured bacterium. RNAcentral's name for it is "bacterial SSU rRNA". It matches the Rfam family "Bacterial small subunit ribosomal RNA", at positions 32 to 467 of the family's 1533-position model. The record is from RNAcentral.